This 497-nucleotide ribosomal RNA is filed under the name uncultured bacterium. RNAcentral describes it as "partial 16S ribosomal RNA". It matches the Rfam family "Bacterial small subunit ribosomal RNA", at positions 28 to 507 of the family's 1533-position model. The record is from RNAcentral.
GAUGAACGCUGGCGGCGUGCCUAAUACAUGCAAGUCGAGCGAACAGAUGAGGAGCUUGCUCCUCUGACGUUAGCGGCGGACGGGUGAGUAACACGUGGAUAACCUACCUAUAAGACUGGGAUAACUUCGGGAAACCGGAGCUAAUACCGGAUAAUAUAUUGAACCGCAUGGUUCAAUAGUGAAAGCCGGUUUUGCUGUCACUUAUAGAUGGAUCCGCGCCGCAUUAGCUAGUUGGUAAGGUAACGGCUUACCAAGGCAACGAUGCGUAGCCGACCUGAGAGGGUGAUCGGCCACACUGGAACUGAGACACGGUCCAGACUCCUACGGGAGGCAGCAGUAGGGAAUCUUCCGCAAUGGGCGAAAGCCUGACGGAGCAACGCCGCGUGAGUGAUGAAGGUCUUCGGAUCGUAAAACUCUGUUAUUAGGGAAGAACAAAUGUGUAAGUAACUAUGCACGUCUUGACGGUACCUAAUCAGAAAGCCACGGCUAACUACGUG